This 301-nucleotide ribosomal RNA is filed under the name uncultured bacterium. Its description in RNAcentral is "partial 16S ribosomal RNA". It matches the Rfam family "Bacterial small subunit ribosomal RNA", at positions 509 to 807 of the family's 1533-position model. The record is from RNAcentral.
CAGUCGCCGCGGUAAUACGUAGGGUGCAAGCGUUAAUCGGAAUUACUGGGCGUAAAGCGUGCGCAGGCGGUUAUAUAAGACAGAUGUGAAAUCCCCGGGCUCAACCUGGGAACUGCAUUUGUGACUGUAUAGCUAGAGUACGGCAGAGGGGGAUGGAAUUCCGCGUGUAGCAGUGAAAUGCGUAGAUAUGCGGAGGAACACCGAUGGCGAAGGCAAUCCCCUGGGCCUGUACUGACGCUCAUGCACGAAAGCGUGGGGAGCAAACAGGAUUAGAUACCCGAGUAGUCCCUGUCUCUUAUAC